GAAAAGAAACUAACAAGGAUUCCCCUAGUAGCGGCGAGCGAAGCGGGAAAAGCCCGGGAUGAAAAUCUCUUAGGAGAAUUGUAGUCUGAGCUCCCUUGGGCGGUCAGUGUGGGUAAAUCGUCUGGGAUGACGUGCCAUGGAGGGUGAGAGCCCCGUCCACCCCACACAGGACCCGCCCGCACGAGGGCGCUUCAACCGAGUCGGGUAGCUUGGGAAUGCUGCUCCAAUUGGUGGUAAAUCUCAUCAAAGGCUAAAUAACGGUGGGAGACCGAUAGCGAACAAGUACCGUGAGGGAAAGAUGGAAAGAACUUUGAAAAGAGAGUGAAAAGCGCUUGAAACCGUCACGGGGGAAGCGGAUUGCGUGAGUGAUGGCGUGCACUGUUCAGCUCAAAAUGUGGAGUGUAUUCUGUGCGCGCCGGGCGUGUGUGGCUGGGGUGCGUGCGAUUUUGGCACGCGUUCCUGGUGAGGGCUCCCUGUCUGUCAGGUGAGGACACACGCGAAAUGACGCAAUACGACCCGUCUUGAAACACGGACCAAGGAGUCUAGCACGGCUGCGAGUCGAAGGGUGUUAAAACCCAGAGGGCGCAGUGAAAGCGAAAGAAAGCAAAUUGGGGAGGCGUUGCGGUUUUACCAAAAUGUCCUACCUCGAGCACCUGUGCUGGGACCCGAAAGAUGGUGAACUAUGCCGGAGUAGGGCAAAGCCAGAGGAAACUCUGGUGGAGGCUCGUAGCGAUGCUGACGUGCAAAUCGCUCGUCGAACUUGGGUAUAGGGGCGAAAGACUAAUCGAACCAUCUAGUAGCUGGUUCCCUCCGAAGUUUCUCUCAGGAUAGCGGGCCGACGACAUGUUGUUUUGUGCGGUAAAGCGAAUGAUUAGUGCAUUUGGGGGCCGAAGGCCUUCAGGCGAUUCUCAAACUUUAAAUGCGCAAGGGGGCGGCUGCUUAAUUGAGCCUGCUCUUUGAAAAACGUCGGCCCUGUGGGCCACUUUUGGUAAGCAGAACUGGCGAUAAGGGAUGAACCUUAAGCGCGGUUAAGGCGCCGCAUUGCCCGCUUAUAGACCCCACAAAAGGUGUUGAUUCAUCCAGACAGCAGGACGGUGGCCAUGGAAGUCGGAAUCCGCUAAGGAGUGUGUAACAACUCACCUGCCGAAUGAAUUAGCCCUGAAAAUGGAUGGCGCUGAAGCGGGCAGCCGACACCGCGCCGUUCGGGCGAGACGAUGCCCGGAUGAGUAGGAGGGCGUGGCGGUCAGUGACGCAGGCGUGGGUGCAGACCCCGCUGAAACGGCCGCUAGUGCAGAUCUUGGUGGUAGUAGCAAAUAUUCAAGCGAGAUCCUUGAAGGGCGAAGCGGGGAAGGGUUCCACGCGAACAUUGAUUGGGCGUGGGUGAGUC
Molecule: ribosomal RNA, 1387 nt
Filed under: Nothocladus bourrellyi var. campyloclonus
Lineage: Eukaryota; Rhodophyta; Florideophyceae; Batrachospermales; Batrachospermaceae
Description: eukaryotic LSU rRNA
Rfam family: Eukaryotic large subunit ribosomal RNA
Source: RNAcentral